Molecule: ribosomal RNA, 515 nt
Filed under: uncultured bacterium
Lineage: Bacteria
Description: partial 16S ribosomal RNA
Rfam family: Bacterial small subunit ribosomal RNA
Source: RNAcentral
GAUGAACGCUGGCGGCGUGCCUAAUACAUGCAAGUCGAGCGAAUGGAUUAAAAGCUUGCUCUUAUGAAGUUAGCGGCGGACGGGUGAGUAACACGUGGGUAACCUGCCCAUAAGACUGGGAUAACUCCGGGAAACCGGGGCUAAUACCGGAUAACAUUUUGAACCGCAUGGUUCGAAAUUGAAAGGCGGCUUCGGCUGUCACUUAUGGAUGGACCCGCGUCGCAUUAGCUAGUUGGUGAGGUAACGGCUCACCAAGGCUACGAUGCGUAGCCGACCUGAGAGGGUGAUCGGCCACACUGGGACUGAGACACGGCCCAGACUCCUACGGGAGGCAGCAGUAGGGAAUCUUCCGCAAUGGACGAAAGUCUGACGGAGCAACGCCGCGUGAGUGAUGAAGGCUUUCGGGUCGUAAAACUCUGUUGUUAGGGAAGAACAAGUGCUAGUUGAAUAAGCUGGCACCUUGACGGUACCUAACCAGAAAGCCACGGCUAACUACGUGCCAGCAGCCGCGGUAA